RNAcentral lists this long non-coding RNA (228 nucleotides) under Elaeis guineensis (African oil palm). RNAcentral describes it as "long non-coding RNA (EGUI_LNC032621)". The record is from RNAcentral. Lineage: Eukaryota; Viridiplantae; Streptophyta; Magnoliopsida; Arecales; Arecaceae.
UUUUACAGUGAAUCACUUUAAGGGGACACGAACAUAAUCGUAAAAUGCACAGCAAAAGCAUCAGAAACAAAUAACCAUUGUGUAGCUUUUAAAAGAUCCGGAUUAGGAAUUCCAGUUUAAACCAUGGAUGCUUGAAAGAAUAGAUGAAUGAUAAAGUCUUUGUAAUCCUCCGCAACUUUCAUGAUAGAAUAUAGAGGAGGGAGAUGGGGGUGGGUGAGAGAGAGAGAG